Molecule: ribosomal RNA, 433 nt
Filed under: uncultured bacterium
Lineage: Bacteria
Description: partial 16S ribosomal RNA
Rfam family: Bacterial small subunit ribosomal RNA
Source: RNAcentral
AACGAACGCUGGCGGCAGGCUUAACACAUGCAAGUCGAACGCACCUUUCGGGGUGAGUGGCCGACGGGUGAGUAACGCGUGGGAAUCUACCCUUCUCUACGGGAUAGCUCCGGGAAACUGGAAUUAAUACCGUAUACGUCCUGAGGGAGAAAGAUUUAUCGGGGAAGGAUGAGCCCGCGUUGGAUUAGCUAGUUGGUGGGGUAAAGGCCUACCAAGGCGACGAUCCAUAGCUGGUCUAAGAGGAUGAUCAGCCACAUUGGGACUGAGACACGGCCCAAACUCCUACGGGAGGCAGCAGUGGGGAAUAUUGGACAAUGGGCGCAAGCCUGAUCCAGCCAUGCCGCGUGAGUGAUGAAGGGCCUAGGGUUGUAAAGCUCUUUCAGUGGGGACGAUAAUGACGGUACCCACAGAAGAAGCCCCGGCUAACUUCGUG